GUUAUCUUUUUCCUGUGUAAGUCUACGUCAGUUACAUAGAUGAAUCCAGCAACAUUACUGGAAAUUAUUUGAUCUUGUUCUUUGGCAUAUGAAACAGCAAGAACCAAAUGGAGCAAGUCUCGACUGAUACUAACAGGAACCAAUCUUGUAGGAUCUGCAGCAGGCUCUGCACCAAUAGGUAAAGCUGAGCGUGGAGCUUGUGGUCCACCCCCUAUUCGGUAGAUGAACAAGUCACUGAAGUUCACCACAUUAGAAUGUGGUGAAAGAUCAUUCGAAGGGCCAUAAAAAUAUUCCCGUAUUCUAUAGCCCCUUGCUUUCUGCCGUACUUUAGCAUUCCUUGAUACAACACCACCAGAUUUUUGAAGUUUCACCACAUCCACAUUGGGUCGAUUCUUCAAUACAUCUUUUAGCAUGCUGCAAAGUUUUUCCUGACCCAAGACAAGAAUAACUGUGGCAUUGAAUGUAUCAAUCGCAUGGAGUAGCAACUCAUAACCAACUCCCUCUAUCCAUCCCAUUGUAUUUAUUACCAUGCCUGAAGCUCGAGAUUCAGCAUUGCCAG
RNAcentral lists this unclassified non-coding RNA (559 nucleotides) under Hevea brasiliensis (rubber tree). The record is from RNAcentral. Lineage: Eukaryota; Viridiplantae; Streptophyta; Magnoliopsida; Malpighiales; Euphorbiaceae.